RNAcentral lists this ribosomal RNA (440 nucleotides) under uncultured bacterium. RNAcentral describes it as "partial 16S ribosomal RNA". It matches the Rfam family "Bacterial small subunit ribosomal RNA", at positions 338 to 795 of the family's 1533-position model. The record is from RNAcentral.
CCUACGGGUGGCAGCAGUGGGGAAUAUUGCUCAAUGGGCGAAACCCUGAUGCAGCGACGUCGCGUGAGUGAAGAAGUAAUUAGUUACGUAAAGCUCUAUCAGCAGGGAAGCAAAUGACUGUACCUGAGUAAGUAGCCCCGGCUACAUACGUGCCAGCAGCCGCGGGAAUCCGUAGGGGGAAAGCGUUAUUCGGAUGUACUGGGUGUAAAGGGAGCGUAGACGGUGCGCCAAGGCUGGAGUGAAAUGGAGCAGGUCAACUGCUGAAGUGCUGUGGAAACGGGCGAACUAGAGUGGGGGAGGGGUAAGCGGAAUGCGUAGUGUAGCGGUGAAAUGCUUAGAUAUCACGAAGAACCACGAUUGCGAAGGCAGCUUACUAAACUGUGACUGACGUUGAAGCACGAAAGUGUGGGUAUCGAACAGGAUUAGAUACCCGUGUAGUC